AGCGUUGUUCGGAAUUACUGGGCGUAAAGCGCGCGUAGGCGGUUUUUUAAGUCAGAGGUGAAAGCCCGGGGCUCAACCCCGGAAUUGCCUUUGAAACUGGAAGACUUGAAUCUUGGAGAGGUCAGUGGAAUUCCGAGUGUAG
RNAcentral lists this ribosomal RNA (142 nucleotides) under uncultured Alphaproteobacteria bacterium. RNAcentral describes it as "partial 16S ribosomal RNA". It matches the Rfam family "Bacterial small subunit ribosomal RNA", at positions 537 to 678 of the family's 1533-position model. The record is from RNAcentral. Lineage: Bacteria; Pseudomonadati; Pseudomonadota; Alphaproteobacteria.